AGCCCACCCUAACUCCACUUCUCACCAUAUUUCCAUUCACUACAAAGCCCUCCCUAACUCCCCUCCUCACUACAUUUACUCUUUAACAAAUUCUCAUUCCCUUCACUCUGUGAGCGAUCUUCUCCUGACACCUGUUCGUUCACGCUCUGUUAGCUCCCAUCUACAAGAUUUCUCUGCCCCAUUCCUUUCGCUCUCCUGUCCCGUCAGACUCUCCCCUAGGCUCCAGGCCUGAAGUCCUGAAAGCUCAC
Non-coding RNA from Pelobates cultripes (western spadefoot toad), 248 nucleotides. The record is from the annotation of a GenBank genome assembly. NCBI's taxonomy places the organism in Eukaryota, Metazoa, Chordata, Amphibia, Anura, Pelobatidae.